This 322-nucleotide ribosomal RNA is filed under the name uncultured Sandonidae. RNAcentral describes it as "SSU rRNA". It matches the Rfam family "Eukaryotic small subunit ribosomal RNA", at positions 634 to 955 of the family's 1831-position model. Lineage: Eukaryota; Cercozoa; Glissomonadida; Viridiraptoridae. The record is from RNAcentral.
GAUUUCUGGCUUGAAACAUUGGGCCGGCCACGGUUUCGUGUGUUAGUGCCUUAUGUUCUAGCCAUCCUUCCAAUCGCUACUCCCCUUUCUUCCUUGAUUGGUGAGUGGUAUUGGAUCUUUUACUUUGAAAAAAUUAGAGUGUUUCAAGCAGGCUUUAUGCUAUGAAUACAUUAGCAUGGAAUAAUAAUUUAGGACUUCGGUUCUAUUUUGUUGGUUUCUAGGACUGAAGUAAUGAUUGAUAGGGAUAGUUGGGGGUGCUAGUAUUCAGCGGCCAGAGGUGAAAUUCUCGGAUUCGCUGAAGACUAACUUAUGCGAAAGCAUU